AAAAAGAACCUGAAACCGUGUACGUACAAGCAGUGGGAGCACGCUUAGGCGUGUGACUGCGUACCUUUUGUAUAAUGGGUCAGCGACUUAUAUUCUGUAGCAAGGUUAACCGAAUAGGGGAGCCGAAGGGAAACCGAGUCUUAACUGGGCGUUAAGUUGCAGGGUAUAGACCCGAAACCCGGUGAUCUAGCCAUGGGCAGGUUGAAGGUUGGGUAACACUAACUGGAGGACCGAACCGACUAAUGUUGAAAAAUUAGCGGAUGACUUGUGGCUGGGGGUGAAAGGCCAAUCAAACCGGGAGAUAGCUGGUUCUCCCCGAAAGCUAUUUAGGUAGCGCCUCGUGAAUUCAUCUCCGGGGGUAGAGCACUGUUUCGGCAAGGGGGUCAUCCCGACUUACCAACCCGAUGCAAACUGCGAAUACCGGAGAAUGUUAUCACGGGAGACACACGGCGGGUGCUAACGUCCGUCGUGAAGAGGGAAACAACCCAGACCGCCAGCUAAGGUCCCAAAGUCAUGGUUAAGUGGGAAACGAUGUGGGAAGGCCCAGACAGCCAGGAUGUUGGCUUAGAAGCAGCCAUCAUUUAAAGAAAGCGUAAUAGCUCACUGGUCGAGUCGGCCUGCGCGGAAGAUGUAACGGGGCUAAACCAUGCACCGAAGCUGCGGCAGCGACACUAUGUGUUGUUGGGUAGGGGAGCGUUCUGUAAGCCUGUGAAGGUGUACUGUGAGGUAUGCUGGAGGUAUCAGAAGUGCGAAUGCUGACAUAAGUAACGAUAAAGCGGGUGAAAAGCCCGCUCGCCGGAAGACCAAGGGUUCCUGUCCAACGUUAAUCGGGGCAGGGUGAGUCGACUCCUAAGGCGAGGCCGAAAGGCGUAGUCGAUGGGAAACAGGUUAAUAUUCCUGUACUUGGUGUUACUGCGAAGGGGGGACGGAGAAGGCUAUGUUGGCCGGGCGACGGUUGUCCCGGUUUAAGCGUGUAGGCUGGUUUUCCAGGCAAAUCCGGAAAACUAAGGCUGAGGCGUGAUGACGAGGCACUACGGUGCUGAAGCAACAAAUGCCCUGCUUCCAGGAAAAGCCUCUAAGCAUCAGGUAACAUCAAAUCGUACCCCAAACCGACACAGGUGGUCAGGUAGAGAAUACCAAGGCGCUUGAGAGAACUCGGGUGAAGGAACUAGGCAAAAUGGUGCCGUAACUUCGGGAGAAGGCACGCUGAUAUGUAGGUGAAGUCCCUCGCGGAUGGAGCUGAAAUCAGUCGAAGAUACCAGCUGGCUGCAACUGUUUAUUAAAAACACAGCACUGUGCAAACACGAAAGUGGACGUAUACGGUGUGACGCCUGCCCGGUGCCGGAAGGUUAAUUGAUGGGGUCAGCGCAAGCGAAGCUCUUGAUCGAAGCCCCGGUAAACGGCGGCCGUAACUAUAACGGUCCUAAGGUAGCGAAAUUCCUUGUCGGGUAAGUUCCGACCUGCACGAAUGGCGUAAUGAUGGCCAGGCUGUCUCCACCCGAGACUCAGUGAAAUUGAACUCGCUGUGAAGAUGCAGUGUACCCGCGGCAAGACGGAAAGACCCCGUGAACCUUUACUAUAGCUUGACACUGAACAUUGAGCCUUGAUGUGUAGGAUAGGUGGGAGGCUUUGAAGUGUGGACGCCAGUCUGCAUGGAGCCGACCUUGAAAUACCACCCUUUAAUGUUUGAUGUUCUAACGUUGACCCGUAAUCCGGGUUGCGGACAGUGUCUGGUGGGUAGUUUGACUGGGGCGGUCUCCUCCUAAAGAGUAACGGAGGAGCACGAAGGUUGGCUAAUCCUGGUCGGACAUCAGGAGGUUAGUGCAAUGGCAUAAGCCAGCUUGACUGCGAGCGUGACGGCGCGAGCAGGUGCGAAAGCAGGUCAUAGUGAUCCGGUGGUUCUGAAUGGAAGGGCCAUCGCUCAACGGAUAAAAGGUACUCCGGGGAUAACAGGCUGAUACCGCCCAAGAGUUCAUAUCGACGGCGGUGUUUGGCACCUCGAUGUCGGCUCAUCACAUCCUGGGGCUGAAGUAGGUCCCAAGGGUAUGGCUGUUCGCCAUUUAAAGUGGUACGCGAGCUGGGUUUAGAACGUCGUGAGACAGUUCGGUCCCUAUCUGCCGUGGGCGCUGGAGAACUGAGGGGGGCUGCUCCUAGUACGAGAGGACCGGAGUGGACGCAUCACUGGUGUUCGGGUUGUCAUGCCAAUGGCACUGCCCGGUAGCUAAAUGCGGAAGAGAUAAGUGCUGAAAGCAUCUAAGCACGAAACUUGCCCCGAGAUGAGUUCUCCCUGACUCCUUGAGAGUCCUGAAGGAACGUUGAAGACGACGACGUUGAUAGGCCGGGUGUGUAAGCGCAGCGAUGCGUUGAGCUAACCGGUACUAAUGAACCGUGAGGCUUAACCUUACAACGCCGAAGGUGUUU
This 2421-nucleotide ribosomal RNA is filed under the name Shigella sp. FC3196. RNAcentral describes it as "bacterial LSU rRNA". It matches the Rfam family "Bacterial large subunit ribosomal RNA", at positions 541 to 2925 of the family's 2925-position model. The record is from RNAcentral. Lineage: Bacteria; Pseudomonadati; Pseudomonadota; Gammaproteobacteria; Enterobacterales; Enterobacteriaceae.